Molecule: non-coding RNA, 30 nt
Filed under: Homo sapiens (human)
Lineage: Eukaryota; Metazoa; Chordata; Mammalia; Primates; Hominidae
Source: RNAcentral
AUGAUGAUGUCCAGACCUGAGAGGAGCCCA